AAGAAGGAAGGAAGGAAGAAAGGAAGAAAGGAAGAAAGGAAGAAAGGAAGAAACUGGCCGCUCAGUAAAUUAAAUUGCUUGUGUGAUUGACAGAACUGAAGCAGAAAUACAACCUUGCAUGGUCACCUACAGACAACUGAGCCUGUGCCUGUUUACCUCCAGGUGAUUCACCACAUACUGAUGUCAAUCAAAACGGAUCAGAUGGAUCACACCUGAAAGGUGCCCAUUCGUCUCUGUUAAUUACACAGGAAUCCCAGGGUAACUUUUUCAGAUACUGAUGUCUAUGCUCCAGACCUCUAAAACACGGGGAGGCGAGGCAUAGCUUUUCAGUCCGUGAUAUUCCUGGUCUCUAACACAUGGUGUUGGGGGGACAGUACACGGGAUACGUUUUACAUGCUCUGUCUUUCAGGGAAGUGAAAGGCCGGAGUCAUCACUAACUUCCCGUUCAGCAGCAAAUAUGCAGUGUUAAACGCUGUCGUUAAAAAGUGACUCUGCUGUGUUGAUGUGCCGCUCAUAGGUGAGCAAAACCCCACAGGAACCUUGUCCUAGAUGCAAAUGCGAGGUGGAGAGCCUGGUUGCGCUGGCUCAGAUGGAAGGGUACACUCCCUGUUAUUCAGGUCUGUGAUUGCUGCGAGAACCAAGCCUUGCUCUUCUUCGGAGGAGAAAACGGGGCCUCAGGAAAGGGUUUGGUGACUUUGUGCUGCUUUCUGAAAGCCGGAGUGAAACAAACCUUUCAGGGGAAACAAUGCUAAUAGAGUCAUCUCUUUGGCACAUGAGUCCCUGCUGGAAAGAAAGUCUGCUAAUCCCCUCUAUAGUCUCUCUAUUUAUACCCUUAGGCAGCACACAAACUGGCCAAGUACAAGAACAAAAGCUGACUAGAAAUAUCUCCUGUGACUGUUGUUCUCAUGAGCUAUUAUCCCCUUUAUUAAGGAUCUGGCUAAGAGCAACCUCUGUUAAGGACAAUGUUCUGCAAAGCAAUGUGAUUAUCAUGCUGAUUUAGGUGAAACUUGGCCCUGUGGCUUGCCUCUCCUGCCCUCGCUAAGCUCGGGACCCAGCCGUCUGGGCUUGCUCAGGGGCCAGUGUGGCUCCUGCUUACACGGUGAUGAGCUUCAGCCUGGAAGUCAUCUUAGCCAUUAUUUUAAGACAUUCAGAAGCAUACAGGUUACAAUAAAAAGGAAAAAAAAAGUAUCUUAGACUACUCAUCUAAGUGUCACCUUAGAGACAAGGCCAUGUAGAGAAGGGCAAGGCCCAGGACUAUAUUCCAGAUCACUGCUGUCCUGAGCUGUUUCUUUAUUUAUGAGCAUUUUGAAAAUUAAAUAUCAAUUAUAUUUCAUUUUUAUAUUAUAUAUAUAUGCAAAUCAUUAUUAGUUGUGGUGAUCUUCCUUAUUUAGAAGGGUUGAGUGCAGUUUUUAUGUCAUGAAGAUAAAAAUCCACUCCAAUGUCCUUUUUCGCCAUGGCUGAAUAAAGGUGUGUCUUCUUGACCUGGAACAGCCCUGGUUCCUUUGUGUCAAUAAAAUCCAAAAAGGAAAAGAAACCAAAGUUGGAUUUUCUGAUCUUUCAGAACAAAACAAAACCAACCAACCAACCAAAAUAUUUCCAGAGAAUUUGGAAAUACAGAGUGCAAACAAGUCUGGUGGUUUAAUUGAAGCAAAAGGGAUAUGGGGGGUGGCUCAUCAUGCUUGGUUGUGCAGAGCAUGAAACUUUUCCUCUUUGGAAUAGAGAAUAGAUGGGAUGUACUUUAGGAUUCUGAAGUUAGAAUUGUUGAAAAGAUUUGAUUAAAUUUAUCUUACCUGGAACCGUUUUACAAACUGACCAAAUGUAAUGUUUUCAUUUACGUAUUAAAAGUGUGACUGGGGAUAGGUAAUGAAGUAACCUGGAUGUAAGGUGUCUGUCAGCUGAAUGAUGGAGAUUCUUGCAAAAGAAUCUUGCAAAAAAAUGCUUUUUCAGACUAUGUGGUUGCAACUUUCAAAUCCUUCCAAUAAUGGACAAUCAAAAAGUUUAUCUGUAUGAUACCAUGACCUUUCAAGUGGCAAUCCCACUGAUGUGGUGGUGCAGUAUUCUUAAAAGUUUGCUGCUGCUGUAGGAUGUCAGGCUUGAGAGAUGCCACCAGAGUGGGGCAAUGAAGAACUGCCAUGGAGGAAAAAGCAAUCCACCUCAAAGCUGAGGCACACUUGUAUCCCCUUUCUGAAUGAAGAUGUUGGAAGUUGGAAAGCCUGUUGUACCUCAUGUUGAAUUUUGUCUCUUUGGGUCUAUCUGUCUGAUCCACAACUUGUCUGUUGCUCAUUAGAAGAAUGAUCUCCUAGGAGUGCAUUGUGCAGAGCCUCUAACACCUCUGUAGGAGCUACAGUAGCAAACAGGGGAAGAGAAACACUAUUUAGCAAUUUUUUCUUACCCUAAGAAUUCAGCUUUAAUCAAAGUGGGGUAUUGGAUAAUGGAAGUGGUCUUCCCAAGUCAGCUGUUUGCCGGUGUUGUUAACAUUUCUGUGUAAAGCCAUUUCUGAAAAUGAGCCUAGCUCCUUAGCAAGCCCUCCAGUGUCUUCCUGGAGCUUCCUCAGGAGGUUUGAAUUCAGCCCCCUUCCACUUUCCUUCUGACUCUGGCUCUGCAUUUUGAAGAUGCAUACUCACAAGUUAAGACAUCACAUAUUGCUCACUCCUUCUCUCCUGCAAAGGCAGGAUUUAAUAUUAAUCUUUGUUUGCUCAACAGUAAGAGUUGUAUUUAAUCUAAGAUCUUUUAAAUUUAACACUGAUAAAUUGAGCUCUUCCUUAAUGUAUGUUCACAUUCUUUCUCAGUCUGUUAUAUAUGCGUUGUACAAAUGUGAUGCAUUGGCUUUGUAAACACACAAAUAAACAAAAGGAAUUAACUUCUUCCCACUAGAGAAAAAAAAACAAAAAACAAAAAACAUUUGCAAAACAGGUUACUUCUCUGUGAAGUAAUGUAGCUGUGAGAGCUGUAGUUCAUCCUGUGCCAGGCUCAGGGAGGCUGAGCUGAUCUGACUCUGCUUUACCCCUGAACAGGAAGGUCCGACCCCAACUUCUGGCUGCACGUUCCCUCGCACCAGCACUGAUGCUGUUGCUGGCUGGUUCUGUAAUAAGCCCGUUUGAUUCACUAUUCAAGCUGAAUAGGUGAAAAAUUAGGUAAUUUUCUGCUGGGUUCAUGCUUUGCAACAUCUUCAAAACAGGCUUGAUAAAGUCACAUGUGUACAAUGGAUGUAAUUCUGAUACUUGGUUUGCAAAAUUCUCCUGUUACCCACAGGAUGCUGAUGCUGAAAGGAGCUUGCAAGAAAGAGACACUACCUAAAGAACAAAGAAGGGUGUGAAAACAGUGAUAUAAUACACAAUGUGCUUUAGCAUGUGUACUUCUUAAAGAGAAGAAAAUGGAGUGUCUCUGCAGGUAAGCACUGAGUUGCAACAGGUCUCUCUGUCGCUAAUCUGGAGGCACCACACUGCAGGAGAGGCAGGCCAGUGUUUGCCUUUCCCAGAUUUAAAUGAGCAGUUACUAAUUAACAGCAGAUAUGGAAAGAAUUUCUCAGCUGUUGCUCCGGAGCCUCUGUCAGCACCAAACAGGGCUCCCUGUCCCUCACCCUGCAGCCUCAGCCUCACCCAAACCUCCUGCACGUCUCCCGUCUGAUGUUUGUGCCCCCAGCUGCACAGCAGGCUUCUGCCGUCCCCACACGUCCUGGUCUCCCUGCUGUUUUCAGAUGCAAGGUCACAGUUUGUGUUGGCAAGCCAAGAAACAACAGUGACGUAUUCUGUUCAAGACCAUACUUAGGACAAUAGUGAAGGGCCUGAUUCUGCCAAUUUUUAGCUGCCGGUAUAACGUCCUAUGCAGUCAAAGUUAAGAACAACCAGAGGGCAUGUCUGAACUUGAAAACUCCUUUGGAUUAAGGUGAAACACAAAUUCAAGGCACAAUGGCUCUCCCUGAAUAGCGAUAUUCAGAAGACCAAGCCCAGGUGCCAAGACCAGCCCUGUGUGUUUGCAGUCGUGCAGAGGACUCUUAAAGGCACAGCAUGGCCCAAUCUCUCUCUCCCCCCCCUCCCCUUCCCCCCUUAUUAUUAUUAUUAUUAGUUUUAAAGAAAAAGUCAUUACAAUAAUUGUGGGAUAAGGAGCAGAUUUAUCACAGGACAAAUAACCUUAACCCCGGCUUGCCUCUUGGUGAGCUUUCAGCUCUAUAAAACCCAAGAACCUGACAAACCCCUCAAAGUCAGGGACCCGUGGUGGAGUGGAUGGACUUUGGGGCCUGAGCAACGAGCAGGAGCGAUUGGUCACCCACCAUGUCCCACUGCCAGCAGGGAGCAGACCAAAGCAAAGAUCCUGCAGUGCCCUGGUCACAGAGGCUUAAAUGUAAUUGUGCUCGACCAGAGCAGCCAGACUGGUUUAGAAAAUGACUGCAUGAAUGAGCACAAUGCGGCUGUAAGAGGAGACUCCGUACUGGGGUCCAAAGAGGAUCUCAGAAGAAUGGGGAGGGAGACCGAGUGAGAAAUGGAGAGAGAUCUGAAGCUUGCACUCUGCUGCUCUCCCGUAUUUGAGUCAAAAUUAAGCUGCUGCCUCUCGUGUACCCACUGCCUGCUGCUUGGGCUGCAUGAGCCCUAAAGAGGAACACAAAAGCUGGACUGCCUGGAGGUGGGAGCACCUUCCAGACUUGAUUCAGAUUAAGAAAUAAACGAUGACUUGGAAACAAAACACGGGGCUUAUCAUGACAGGAGUGAAAAGAAUCUAAAACAGUGGCGGUGGUCUGCAAUUUGUGGUGCUCACAUCUUACUUUAAGGCAAUGAAAUGGUCACUGACACGGAUUCAUCUGUACAAGGUAAGAGUCUGGCCUACUUACAAAGUGUAAAAAGAGUAAAAUUGAUUAAUAUGUUAAAAGUAAUGUUAAUUUUCCCUUCAAACAGAUCUUCAAACAUUAUUAAAGUGACCCAGUCUUGAAAAAAGUUACAAAUACAAUUAAGUUGGCAGCUGACCCCACCCCCCUGAAGCAUUUAAUUCCUAUGUCUCGCUGUGUACUGGCAGUGCACGUUUCAGCAGAUGGAGGUAGAGGCUAUGUACAUUGCACAGCUUUAGAGGUUUGGGCACUGUGCUGAGAUUAACACUGCACAUGGCAAAACAAACUAAAUUCCUGAUAUAAUGCUUUCUGAAAGUGAAUGUUAUGGCUAUGUUAGCAAGUAGCAUGGCACUUGGGAAGCAAAACACAGAGCAAAAAGCUGACACUGACAUCAGCUGAAGCUGAUGCCCACCAAGUACUCACAGUUCUCUUCAGACCCAAAAUGCCUACCAGAGACCAUGAUGGGCAUAUCUAAGACCUGUCUUCUGGUUUGGUUUAAGACAAAAGGAAUCUGGUUCAUGAGCUCCAAGACCAGAUGUGAAUCACCACCCAGAAAGUGGGGACAAGUGGAAGACGAGUUUCAAACUCCUGAGCUGAACAAAAUGGUAAUGUAGAAACCCACCCAAGGAUAUCCAUGUCAUGACACUGAGCCUGCUGGAGUUAAAGAAGUGUUUGGACAAUGCUGUCAGAAAUAUGGUCUGAAUUUUGGUUGUGGCCAGGGGUUGGAUUUGAUGAUCCUUGAGGGUCCCUUCCAACUCAGGAUAUUCUCUCAUUCUGUAAUUCUAGGUGGUUAGGAAUUUAUUACAAGAGGAGCACAUACUUUGCUGGGGUAGCAUGCUAUUUAUUUAUUUAUU
Anas platyrhynchos (mallard) is the source of this 5673-nucleotide non-coding RNA. Lineage: Eukaryota; Metazoa; Chordata; Aves; Anseriformes; Anatidae. The record is from RefSeq and is a predicted model, not a curated record.